This is a small nucleolar RNA of Macaca fascicularis (crab-eating macaque), 104 nucleotides long. The record is from Ensembl. NCBI's taxonomy places the organism in Eukaryota, Metazoa, Chordata, Mammalia, Primates, Cercopithecidae.
CUCAAUAUGUGUUUCCUCACACAUGAUGAUUAGGUUUUCACUAGCAUGUGUGAGAGUGCCUCCCUCAAAAUGUGUUACGACAUCAGGAUGUUACCCAUCUGACA